AACGCGAAGAACCUUACCAAGGUUUGACAUGCAGGGAAAAGCCGUAGAGAUACGGUGUCCGUAAGGGUCCUGCACAGGUGGUGCAUGGCUGUCGUCAGCUCGUGUCGUGAGAUGUUGGGUUAAGUCCCGCAACGAGCGCAACCCUCGUCCUAUGUUGCCAGCGGAUAAUGCCGGGGACUCAUAGGAGACUGCCGGGGUCAACUCGGAGGAAGGUGGGGAUGACGUCAAGUCCUCAUGCCCCUUAUGUCUUGGGCUGCAAACAUGCUACAAUGGCCAGUACAAAGGGUUGCGAGACCGCAAGGUGGAGCGAAUCCCAAAAAAGCUGGUCUCAGUUCGGAUUGGGGUCUGCAACUCGACCCCAUGAAGUCGGAGUCGCUAGUAAUCGCAGAUCAGCAACGCUGCGGUGAAUACGUUCCCGGGCCUUGUA
This 427-nucleotide ribosomal RNA is filed under the name uncultured Actinomycetes bacterium. RNAcentral describes it as "bacterial SSU rRNA". It matches the Rfam family "Bacterial small subunit ribosomal RNA", at positions 958 to 1385 of the family's 1533-position model. Lineage: Bacteria; Bacillati; Actinomycetota; Actinomycetes. The record is from RNAcentral.